RNAcentral lists this long non-coding RNA (428 nucleotides) under Octopus vulgaris (common octopus). Lineage: Eukaryota; Metazoa; Mollusca; Cephalopoda; Octopoda; Octopodidae. The record is from RNAcentral.
CUCGGCAGAAUUUGAACUCAGAACAUAAAGACAGAUGGCCAUAAAAUACAAACAUUUCUCAUGGCACCAAUACACUGUUUACAGAUGCUUACAUUUUUUAUAUUUCAGUUUUGGAUUUGGUUUGCAAGAUUCUUUAUAUGAGUUCGUGUGUUGAAGCAUAUUCUAUUGUGUCUUUUACCGGUGAGUGUGUUAUAUUAUAAGGCACAAAAAGAAAAUGACUCUCCCCAGACACAAUAGAAUACAUUUUUAUGCUUUCCAUGAAUUUUUCAUGGGUCCAGCUUCUUCUUCUUCUUCUUCUUCUUGUUGUUGUUGUUGUUAUUUAUUAUUAUUAUUAUUAUUAUUAUUAUUAUUAUUAUUAUUAUUAUUAUUUAAGGUGGCGAACUGGCAGAAUCGUUAGCAUGCUGGAUGAAAUGCUUAGUGGUAUUUUG